ACUUAAAUAGCUUAUAAAGAGUAUGAUAUUGAAGAUAUCAGGGAAAUGUAAUAUUUUUAAGUA
RNAcentral lists this transfer RNA (63 nucleotides) under Batophila aerata. Its description in RNAcentral is "tRNA-Phe". Lineage: Eukaryota; Metazoa; Arthropoda; Insecta; Coleoptera; Chrysomelidae. The record is from RNAcentral.